RNAcentral lists this ribosomal RNA (274 nucleotides) under uncultured bacterium. RNAcentral's name for it is "partial 16S ribosomal RNA". It matches the Rfam family "Bacterial small subunit ribosomal RNA", at positions 523 to 796 of the family's 1533-position model. The record is from RNAcentral.
AGACAGAGGGUGCGAGCGUUAAUCGGAAUUACUGGGCGUAAAGCGCGCGUAGGCGGCUUAUUAAGUCAGAUGUGAAAUCCCCGGGCUCAACCUGUGAACUGCAUCUGAUACUGGUAAGCUAGAGUUUUGGAGAGGGAAGUAGAAUUUCAGGUGUAGCGGUGAAAUGCAUAGAGAUCUGAAGGAAUACCAGUGGCGAAGGCGACUUCCUGGCCAAAAACUGACGCUGAGGUGCGAAAGCGUGGGUAGCAAACAGGAUUAGAAACCCUAGUAGUCC